This is a non-coding RNA of Phalacrocorax carbo (great cormorant), 10335 nucleotides long. The record is from RefSeq and is a predicted model, not a curated record. NCBI's taxonomy places the organism in Eukaryota, Metazoa, Chordata, Aves, Suliformes, Phalacrocoracidae.
UCUUUGACUCCCUAAAGCAACAAGGUUUAGUCAUCGUGCAGGCUGUUCUUCUUUCAGCUACCGCCUUAUCUCGGCUAAGUUUUGGCUCCGGGUCCCAGCCUUAGUUGAGCUACACCAGAUUGUAUUAGUAACUCCCAACCAUCUAUACCCUGAAUCAUUACUACCAAGAAGUGAGGCUUUAAUUUAAUCCUUAAAACAGAGGUUUGGACGCUAACCACUAGGAGUGAGGGUUUUGGGAUCUAAAAAUUAGGCUUUGAGUCUGAAGGGAGAGGGGUUCUGACAGAGAUGCAUUAUCUAUUCCAUUAAGGAUUAACUAAUGACUAAAAUACAGAUUAACGAAUACAUUGCUUGUCCCCGGACUUAAUGUUCAGUUGGAUGGUAUAGCAGCAUCCAUGUUUGGUUAACUUCAUCACCCUGGUUACAUAUGUAUGCCUAUAAGAAAAUGGAGUUGUAGAGUGUUCUGCUAAGCCAUGAAAAUGAACCAUGUGAGCCUGGCAAAACAGAAUUUGGCGGCCAGAGAAGGGAGCUGAGAGGGAAGCACUUGUGUUAUUACUAUGUCCCUGAGGAAAGCUGAGAUCAAAGCAAACAUCCCACCUCAGAAGAGGCUGAGGACAGGGUGAUAAAGUGUGUAGUCAAGGAGGACAACUAAUUGGAAUGUUGAUAAGAACUAAAAGUGCCCUUUAAGUGAACUGUCCUCUUUAUAGUACUAAAUAUCAUGACCAUAGGCCAGGACUGCUCCCCCCGCCCCCCCAAACAAGCCCCUUACUCUCUGAGCAUGCGUGGUAAAUUUAAAGGGAGCUGUACCGUUGCAUCGAAGUGAGAAAGAAAUUAACCAAUUAUUAGCUAAGGUGUGUGACUAUUAGCUGUGACUGACACAUUUAACUGUAUAAAUGCCUUGGAGUUUCUAGGUGUGGGGUGCUGCUUUGUGGGUUACCACCUCCAGCACCCAUCUUUGUGCAAACACGAAUUAAAUAAAAUACCUCCACUCUGUGUAGUUUGGUGUUUCGCACAUGGAGUGAACAAACCUGCUUUUUGGGAUAACACCUAGAGCAAGCAAUUGCCUGCGGUUUGUGAAGGCACUACAAAAAGACUAACCGUCUUCCAGUGAAGUGUUAUGUUUUUUAUUGCAGGGGUAAAAGGACUGUGGGACAUAGCCCUCUGCGAGAACCUGUGCCUCCCAUGGGGCAGCCAGAGGAGCGUGAAGACUCAUGAGAGGUGGCAGGAGCUGCUGCCUGUGUGCGAGUACCCUUCUCCAUACACAGCCCUGCUGCCAGCAGCCCAUCAUCUUCUUGAAGUGGUGGGAAACUGCUGGUGCAGUGACACUGGUUGAAAUGCUUGUAUUCUUCUGUAAAGUCAGUCUUCUCUGGGUGGAGUUCAUCUUUCACCAAGAGCAAUGCUGGGGCACCUCCCAGUGGUCAAUACCUCCAUCGUGGAGCAGUGAAGCCGAUUCAAACCUUCAGCUGAAAAAUUUACAGCAGGUUUUGUCAAGGAGGGUAGCAUUUGAAACAAUUUAUGAUACAUUUUGCUCUCUCCAAACCAUUCCCUUAAGGUUCACAAAGUAAAUCUGCAGGAUUAUAUUGUUAGAGGCCUCUGCUUAGCAAUGAAAUAAAUGUUUAUAAAUCCAGUAAGACUUUUUUUCUCAAGUCAGUUUUCUGUUUCUUGUAUUUUUAGCGUUUCACUAGAUCUCCAUUACCUUUCCUGGUAAUCUUGAGCUGAUGUUAUAAAGACAGCUGGGCACCAUUCCUUCUUUAUUAGUUAUCUGUGGUAUUUGUGUCUCCGUAGAGAAAUUCCGUUGCUGUAUUUUGCUGUUUUUCCGUGGCUUUGCGUCCACUAGAGGGAAGUAUGCACAAACUGUGCGUUGAUCUUGCCGUUGAACUGCAUCACUGCCAGCAACAGGCACAGAUUUACAAACAAUUAGAGUGCAUUUACUGCAGGUGAAAAGAAUGGAUGAAUGCCAUUUAAGAGCCACUGUUAAUAAGCUAGGAAAUAGAAGGAAUCAGGAUUUAUUUUUAAAAUUAAAAAUAAUUUGCCAAUGUAGUUACAGCUCAACCACAGCAUGAGGUCGCAGCUGAACCUGCAACGUGCUGCCAGCAAGCCUGCAGAUGAGAAAUCAUGGCCAAAGCUGGUUCAUACAGCCAGAAAGGGCUGCUAGAAAUGGGCGACGCUGGCCCAAGGGUAGACAGGAAAGAGGCAAUCAAGGAUCCCAUGGGCAGCACAUGGGUCAUGCACGUUCCAGACAUACGCAUGCUCUGUAUUUAUUAGGCUGUGUUUUAUGAAUAGCUGUGUAUUGACGUGUUAGAGGGUUGUUAAGUGGUUGCUGUUAAAUGGUUUAUUUUAAAGAGAUGGGGUGAAGUGCCUGCUAAUCUGUAUGUGGCAUACAUGGCCAGAUUAACUUUGUGAGUGAGGAUUGAUUUAUUUGUCAAAGGAAAAGAAAAUAUAUGCAGACAUGCACAUAGUUGCAUCCAUCUAUGUAUGUCCAUCUGUCUGUCAGCUUAUUUUCACUAAGUGGAGACAGCAGCAUGCCUCCUGGUGCUUGCAGGCUGCUCGCUGGUUUCACUUCAGUGCAGGUUUUCGUUUGGCUGCAGCCUCGUCUGGCCUCCUUACUGAGCUAAGCGCAGACAAGCUGUCAGCCCCCAUACUGGACAUGGAAAUGGGUGUAGAGAAAAGCUGAAGAACAGCAUAAGCGAGACCAGUGAGAAGGCACUUGCUUUGUUUUCUGUUCUGCUGAAGCAUUAAAUGUGUUGUCUUUCUUUUCCACAGUCUGAAAUUUUAUGUGUGUGUGACUAGGCAGGAUGGGUGGCCCUUAGGAUCCCUUACAAGGUUUGCAGGCAGUGGAAAUGGCUGUUUGGUACCUUUCUGCUAAAUCAAUAAGACAGUAUUUCCUCAUAAAUAUAACUUCUUUGAGAGUGACCAUGCCUGUGUAAGUUCGAACUAGUUUGGGUUUGUUCAAAUUUGACAUUAUUCAGCUGUGAGCUCUACUGUACACUGGCAGCAGGUGAAAAAUGAGCAAGACAGCAGUCCUGCAAAUCACUGUAAAAUUUUGUUGGCUAUUUUUUUGUAUUUUACUAAGAAACACCAAAUUGCCUGUCCACAGCACAGUGUACAUAGCAGAGCACUCUCACGCCUCUCUUAGGAGACUUUCUCAUAGUUCCAUCACAAACGUAACAUGCUUGGGAGAUUUGAGACAAGAGGAUUGAAAAUCUGGACCACUGGAUCCUGUAGCAUCUUUCGUAACUUGGGAUGAAAUCUCCUGGAAUAUUGUGAUUUGAACCAUUUGAUGUUAGUAACUAAAGAGGAACAUGUGUGAAUCAUCUCGCCUUCAAAGAGGCUUUGGUUUUAUUGUUGGUUUUUUUUGGUUCACUCAUUAUUGUAUCAAAUAGCAUGAUUCGAGGCCUGACUCGGCAUUCUUCGGUCCACAUCUAUGAGUUGUCCUCUUAGAUCACGACAGUACAUCUGAAAGAAGCAUGUCUUGGGAAGACAGCAGUCUGGGUGGGCCGACGCAAAAAAUGCCAGUGGUUAAAUGCCAGGCAGGGCCUGUGACACAGGUUCAGGGGAGUGAAAACUGCAAAAGAGCAAGAAGGAUGCGGCAGUAAGAAAUCAUAAAGGAACACUGAGGGGAAAAAAGUCUGCCUGCAAAGCCCAGGAUUCACAGCUGUGUUGCACCUUGUUUACAAAAGGGAGAUGAUGCAGAUGCAUUUUUGGAGUCCAAAGAAAGAGUGUGGUAAAUUGGAAAAGGGAUAUAAAGGCACCUAGACACAUUUUCAAGAUUUGCCACUAACUUUGGUAUUAGUAUUUUAUCUUUGCAUUCUUGAAUGGUUUGGGUUUAAAAAAAUAUUCUGGCUUGAAGGAGGGAAGUCAGCCUCCAAAUAUGUGUGUAUGUAUAUGUAUAUGUAUAUAUAAAUACAAGUAUCUCCAUAUUUCAUUAUACAAAUUUAGCUAGCUAGGUAGUCUCAUCAGCAUAUGGGCCUUUUUAGACUUUAAAAAUAGAAUUACUAUUUUUAAUGUGAUAUUCAUUGGUAUUCAUGAGGUGCAUACACUGAUAAUUCUGCCAUGCCCCUAAUGCCAAAUAACCGACACUAUAACUGAGAGGAAAUCCUGCUUCAGAAAGCAGAGCUACAAAACCAGAAUGAGAGCUAAGACAGGUACUUUGAUAAACGCAUGGAAGAAAACUUAGGGAAAACAUUUUCAUUUCAAACGGGAAUACACAUGUGCACAAACUGAACUAAUAUUAACUGACAUCAAUAAUCAAGGUUUUUUUCCCUUUGUCUAAGAAACUUUUGGAUCUGUCUGAGUUCCCAGGAAAAUGGGUGGAUGAACAAAGUAUGUUCAUUACUCUUCAUUACUGAUAAACUUAGUAUUAUAACAUAACUGUUAUUUUCUCAUUAUGAGCCCAGUCUUCUUCUGUAAUAAUUUAUACUGAGUGAUUAUAAAUGUGGUGUCAAUCAGCAACAAUAUUCAUUAGAUGACUGUAUGUUUGUGCCCUCUUGGAUGACUCGACUCAGUAGGACUUCUCUACUAUACAUAGUGCACGUCUAUGUAUGCCAUUUCUUCAGGCAUCUUUGCAGGCAAAAGAAAUGGCUAUUUAAAGUCUUCAAUCUUUUAAUUAAGCCUUAAGCUGAAAGUAAACUGUAAAAAACAUUACAGUGGAGAGAUGAACAUUAAUUAUUUCAGGUCUUAAAUUACAUUCCAACAAAUCUUACCAGUAAAGUAAUUCUGCAUAUAAAUAUUAGCUGUAACUCAUUCUCCAUGUUAUCUGCUGCCUUUUCUUGAUAUUUCCAGAUAAAAAAUAGAUAAGGUAUGUUCAGGUGUGCAGUAGUCUUGUAAGAAUGAUAGUUUCAUGAACUUUUAAAGUCUGUCAGGUCAGUUUUUGUUAGAACAGCGAAUGAUUUUAGGUGUAGGGUGUCACGAGUGAAAUUACAACUGUCAUAGCUACAGGCUUGGGUCUUAAGCUUUUAAAUCAGGCUUCAGAAAACAAAUCAGUUUAAUGCAUGUAUUCCCACCUACCAAAGUCUUCAUUACAGGGAGCCCUCUUAGCUAGGCAUGAAUUUUGUUUGUUCUUUCCAUGAGUUAUGUGGACACCAGUGCAUUGAAUAAAGCCAAAAUUCAAAGAUACCACAGUAGGUCAGUCUUCAACCACUCUGAUGCUGCUGUGGCACGUUAUGUUUUAUUUCUUGCGAAAAAAAGCGUUACAGUAAAUCUGCCACUGUCUUGCUGCUUUUCUGUACUAACAGCUCAUAUUCUUUGUGAAGGCAUAAGUGUGUGUUUCUCUUUCUUUGCAUCUGCUGUCAUGAAGCGUCCCUUGCCUCCUCCUGAGGCAGCCCCACGCCUGCUACCCUGUGCCCUGGGCUUGGGUCUCCUGCCUCCCUCACCUUCGUCCAGCCUCCAACCCUGCUCCUGGCUUGACUUUUACAUUUGAGCCACCCUUUGACUUUCCAGUUUGUUGGUAAUGCUUCUUAGCCAGGCCAUGGGCUUGUUGCAAGAGCUGUGUUUUCUCAGUGUCAAUCACUGUGUGCAUUAACUUCAACACAGCUCCAAACCCAGUUCAGGCUUGGCACACAUAAUUUGGCUUAUGUGUCCAAGCUUGAAUCUCUCAAUAUAUAUAAUUAAGCUCCUGACUGGCUGAGAAUCACCUAACGUCUGUUUUCCUUGCCUCUUCUCUUCUUCUGUGUCUUCAGCCUAUAUUCCUCUCAUCCAAAGUUCUUUCUCUUCCUCUACCCUGUAGAUGCCUCGAAAAAGGUCUGUCAUUAAUACUAACAAUUUGGUAGUGCACAGGUCAAAGGAUCUGCACCUUUCUGAGAGUCUUUGGUUCCCUUAUGGCGCAAAUACAAAACAACACAGUUUAUUCCCAUCAACCCAGCCAUUUAGACAAGGUAUUUAUUGUUAGAGCAAUAUUUGUAUGGCAGUUUCAACACAGAAGAAUGUGUUCACUCUUGUAUAGAGGCACCUCUUGCAAAGUCAAUGUCCAUUUCCUGGUGGAGCUGAGAAUACAGUGCCACUUUUUGCUUGUCCUGUAAUGGUAAAUUCUGCUCCAGUUCUCACCCUGCAUGAACUGCCUGAUGGACCACUGGUGGGCUUUGAUGGAGGAUGACCUGAGCGUUUACUUUUGCUGAUCCCUUGUCACUGAUGUAUUUGUCAAGAAGAUUAUAAAAGUACUUGAGGCAAGGUAUGUAGCUCUUCUUGGAGUACUUAAUCAAAAAAAUUCCAAAGAUUUAUAGAGAAUUAGUAUCUGAAUCUAUCAGGAAAGAGUUUUAUUGGCAGAAGAGGAUCUCAGCAAUGCAGAAUUGGUGGCAUGGGGAAACUAAAUAUGAGAAGGCAAGAAGAAACAUCAUAUGUCUAGGGUUAGUGCAGCAAACCUGGUUUUUAAUCUUUGAUAUCUUCUUAUUGGAUCGUAGUCUGUACGAUUCUCUCUUUUUUUGUUUGACAGCCUUUCAGGUUGCUUAUUUCCUGCUGCAGCCAUUCACCAGAGCAUGUCCUCCGCGAACAGUGCAGCUUCAGCGUUGCUGCCUUUAAGCUGUCAUUGAAGGCUUACAGGAACAGACCUCCCCCACACCUCCCCACAUCCCCACAUCCCCCCAGCCCUGGGAUGUACUCAGCUUGGAGAUAAACAUGGUCCAAGCAGAGAGCAAACUGGUCUGAGGACUGUAAUGAUGGAGUGGGACUGAGUAAAGAUGUCCAGCGUAAUGUUAGUAGAUAUGUGACUGUCACAUGUGACUGACAAACGCAGUUCUCUCAACUUCACAUAAUACAUCAUGCCUCAGCCCCCCUGACAGUCUUGGUGGCCCUGUCCAGGACGUUGCAGUUUGUCACUGUCUUUCCUGGACAUGGUUCUUCAGCUGAAGUUCCACAUGUACCAAAUGGAGGGGUUAUAAUCAUACCCCUCAAGCCGUUGACGACACUCAACAUUUAAUGCAGCCUGGUAUGGUCAUACUGCUGACUCAUGUUCAACUUGCUGUCUACCAGGACCCUUAGUCCUUGCAAAGCUGCUUUCCCCCCACUUGUCUCCCAGCUUGUGCUGUUGCAUGGAGUUGCUGCAUCCCAGGUGCCUCUGCCCCUGUUGAACUUCAUGAGAUUUCUGUCAGCCCAUUUCUACAGUCAAAUGCGCUCUCAAGAGCAACCCUCUCUCCAGUUUACAAGGUACUCCCUUUUAUUUAGCACCAGCAGUGACUGGCUGACUCUGUAAUGCACCCUGUCAUCCAGGUCAUUAUUAAAGGUAUUAAAGCAGUAUCAUCAGCUCCCAUAUCAACCCCUCAGGAAUGCUAUUUUUAAAUGGCUGCCAGCUGGACUUCCUACCACUGCCUACCAGCAGCUUGCAAGUCAGCAGGAAAAAAGCAAGUGGAGUCUAUAAUCUGAGCACAUUUGGCCUCCAGUCGAGUUUUGUGUUUGACUGUUUUGGAGGUCUAACAGUGAAGUCUUUCCAGUUUUACUUGUUUGCCUUCUACGUGAAAUCAGCAGGAGUCUCUUUCCCUUCCCCAGAAUUACUAUUAUUAACCACCAUUUAGAAAGUCGGUGGCAAAAUAUUAGAGAAUGUACACAGCAUAGAUGAGGAAGAAACAGCAAUCAUAUGGAAGAUCCAGCCUACUUCAUAUACAACAGCUCUCCUUCUGAGCAAAAGCACACCAUGCUGCUGGUUUCCCAGAGCUCCUAAGUCACCAUCUAGCUCUCAACUUCCAAUUGUGAUUUUUAAAGUGUGUAAUUUGUUAUGGCCUAGCUAUCCAGUCACAGCUCUUCAGAUAUGACUUGCUGAAAAACCUUCUCAAGGCACUUUGCACCAGGCUGGGACUGUACAGCAGAUGUCAGCAAGAGGUUUCUGAUGGAGGAUGCUUUGUUAGGGGAGUUCCUGCCACCUGAAUUAAACUAGGACUAACACAUAUGUUCUCAAUGUUUUCUCAGAGCUUACACUACAUGAGUUUUAUAAACUAAACUAGCAUUGCUCAAGGUGCUGCAACGGGCUCCAAAGCACCAGUCAGGACACUACUGAACUGCAUGUCCUGGACAUACCCCUACAUACAGUAGCCAUGGGUGCCUCAGCAGUGUCACUUUGCUGUUCACACAGACCUGAAACAUUUUCUGCUGAUACUACUCCCCACUCGACAGCAACACAGCACAUUCAUCAGGGUAUAUUUUGACUAUUUUGGUUUUUUCGUGAGAACUGGUGUUUUGAGUGUGGUUACAGUGAACCACUGAAUAUGUUUCAAUAUGCAAAAAAGAAGCAAUCAGUGGGACUGUUAGCAUCUGCUAGUGUUUCUUCCCACCAAGCUGCUCACCACAUGGAAUAGUGGUGAGCAUGGAUGCCUGUGGUGGAAGAGUGGUGAUGCCUGGAUGGAAGAGUGGUGAGCACCUCAGACGCCCAAGGGAAACAGCUGAGAAGUGACGUGGUGAGUUCUGUAGGAGUGAAAAAAUCUGGGUGUUUGGGGUGACAUGGUAAAGAAUUUUGUGUGCAGACCAGUCCUGGACAGAGAAGAGACAGCUCCUUUGCAGAGACACCACUGAAUUCCCGAUGACAGGUCAAGUGGCAGACUUCAGAGGCUGAAUGCACAUGCAGCUGCCAACUCCAGUUAAUUGUUGAACUCACCAUGGUGUUCAGCGGUUGCUGAAAAAGCAAGGAGCACUUCACAGCACCUACCCCUCAUGCUGGUAGAUUUCAGCUGCCUGGACAGUCACUGGAAAGAAGUGCAUCUGUGAAUAAAAGUAGGGUGCUCGUAGGAGACUUCCUAAGUGUGGCCAUAAGUGCAAAUGCAGCUUAGAAUUAAGGAUCUGUGCUUUUGCAUUACUCAGGUAGUACUUUUCUUAUCACCAACCAAGAAAGGAAAGGAAACAGUCCCCAAAAAAGAGUGUACUGUGGUGGUUGUAUUGGGUGCAUCCUAGUAAACCUGCACGAAGACUAACUUCUGCCAGGGCAGCCAGGCAUCAAAGGAGACAUCAGGUAUCAGGUAGUGUUUUAUUACACAAGAUUUUUGUACAGAGAUAUACAGAGGUGCCUUUCUGUCAGAGUGGCAGUCAUAUUUUCUACCAGUUGCUCGCCAUCAGCAGUAAGAUCACUUCCUGCCAAACUGAGGCAACGGUGGUGGCACUUUGAUGUCUUGACCUCUUUCCAGUUUCUUCUCACAGUCAACUAGGUAAUUGACCCCAUCAAUGACAAUCUGGACUAGCUCCACCUACAGCAACAAGAAGAAAAUAGUAUUAGUAGAAUCUUUAGCUAAUGGUGUUAAUAGAGGAAGGGAAAAUUGGCUUGUACUGGAAUGACGGCAGGUAAAGCUAUAAGUAAGGAGUGUCAUGGAAUAGACACCACACUGCCUGUGGCACAGGGAGUAUGGGUCAUGCUGGUCCAGUGGAAACCGAUAGUAAUUCCCUUCUCCUAUUUGCCCUGAGUUUGGGCCGCCAGCAACAGAAACUUUCAAAUAGGUCCCUAAAGUUAUUUCCACCAAAUUCUGCUCCUACUCAUAUGACUGUAGGAAUAAAGCAAACAAACAAAAGUCCUUACAGAAAAUGUUUAGUCAUGAGUUGAGAGACCUAUUUCAAAUGUGACCACUUGAGGGUGCAGGGUCCUCCCCAGAUGUUUGCUGAAAAGUAACGCAUGGCACAGCAGGGGUCCCUGUCUGUUGUGUUUGGCAUGCUCGUAUACAAGGAUGAAGAAACCAGAACAGCCAUGCUGUGAGUGCUCAGUAUCACCAGGCAGCUCACACUGAAUGCCAUUGCUGUGUCGUCGCAGCUCCCAAGCCUGAACUGCCCGUGUGCUUGCAGAAGCAUUUAUGUGAGCACAGUCAGACAGAAACUAACUGGGACAGUGGCACAAGGAGAGGAGGACAGAGGCUCAUUGCCCUGACUCUCACCAGCCCUGAAUGCUGCUGGAGGCAUGGGCUAAGUCCAUCACAUGGCUGGGACUGGGAGGGGGGCAGGACUACCUGUUUGGUUACAGCCAUUUAGACUGCCUGAGAAAGCUUGUCUAACCAGAGUCUUGUACUUCUUCACAGGCAUGGGCAUGGCUCAGGACCAUAUGUUCCCCUGCAGGUGACCAUGAACCCUGUGCAAUGGUUUGUCAGCUGUGGGACCAGCUGUAUUGGGAAAUCAGAGGUCUGAAUUUGCAGCCUCAAGAAGGAAAAGAAUUUCAUAUUAAGUUUACAUUGACCAGCAGUUGAAACAAAGCAAAAAUACAAACAGUUUUGUCUCACACCUUUGGGACCAUAAUUCAGUUCUGCAAACACAUUUACCACACAAUGGAAUUUAUUUUAUUACGUACUGAAAAAAUAUGUCUUAUAAUAAAACAUUUUUAUCCCCUUGAGUUUUCUUUCUUAUUUAGAUUUCGAAAUCUUCAAGGUAUGGAUUGCAUCUUAUCUA